Molecule: ribosomal RNA, 230 nt
Filed under: uncultured Streptococcaceae bacterium
Lineage: Bacteria; Bacillati; Bacillota; Bacilli; Lactobacillales; Streptococcaceae
Description: partial 16S ribosomal RNA
Rfam family: Bacterial small subunit ribosomal RNA
Source: RNAcentral
AGUAACGCGUAGGUAACCUACCUCAUAGCGGGGGAUAACUAUUGGAAACGAUAGCUAAUACCGCAUAAGAGAGACUAACGCAUGUUAGUAAUUUAAAAGGGGCAAUUGCUCCACUAUGAGAUGGACCUGCGUUGUAUUAGCUAGUUGGUGAGGUAAAGGCUCACCAAGGCGACGAUACAUAGCCGACCCGAGAGGGUGAUCGGCCACACUGGGACUGAGACACGGCCCAG